RNAcentral lists this ribosomal RNA (1018 nucleotides) under Shigella sonnei. RNAcentral's name for it is "partial 23S ribosomal RNA". It matches the Rfam family "Bacterial large subunit ribosomal RNA", at positions 1 to 1059 of the family's 2925-position model. The record is from RNAcentral. Lineage: Bacteria; Pseudomonadati; Pseudomonadota; Gammaproteobacteria; Enterobacterales; Enterobacteriaceae.
GGUUAAGCGACUAAGCGUACACGGUGGAUGCCCUGGCAGUCAGAGGCGAUGAAGGACGUGCUAAUCUGCGAUAAGCGUCGGUAAGGUGAUAUGAACCGUUAUAACCGGCGAUUUCCGAAUGGGGAAACCCAGUGUGAUUCGUCACACUAUCAUUAACUGAAUCCAUAGGUUAAUGAGGCGAACCGGGGGAACUGAAACAUCUAAGUACCCCGAGGAAAAGAAAUCAACCGAGAUUCCCCCAGUAGCGGCGAGCGAACGGGGAGCAGCCCAGAGCCUGAAUCAGUGUGUGUGUUAGUGGAAGCGUCUGGAAAGGCGCGCGAUACAGGGUGACAGCCCCGUACACAAAAAUGCACAUAUUGUGAGCUCGAUGAGUAGGGCGGGACACGUGGUAUCCUGUCUGAAUAUGGGGGGCCCAUCCUCCAAGGCUAAAUACUCCUGACUGACCGAUAGUGAACCAGUACCGUGAGGGAAAGGCGAAAAGAACCCCGGCGAGGGGAGUGAAAAAGAACCUGAAACCGUGUACGUACAAGCAGUGGGAGCACGCUUAGGCGUGUGACUGCGUACCUUUUGUAUAAUGGGUCAGCGACUUAUAUUCUGUAGCAAGGUUAACCGAAUAGGGGAGCCGAAGGGAAACCGAGUCUUAACUGGGCGUUAAGUUGCAGGGUAUAGACCCGAAACCCGGUGAUCUAGCCAUGGGCAGGUUGAAGGUUGGGUAACACUAACUGGAGGACCGAACCGACUAAUGUUGAAAAAUUAGCGGAUGACUUGUGGCUGGGGGUGAAAGGCCAAUCAAACCGGGAGAUAGCUGGUUCUCCCCGAAAGCUAUUUAGGUAGCGCCUCGUGAAUUCAUCUCCGGGGGUAGAGCACUGUUUCGGCAAGGGGGUCAUCCCGACUUACCAACCCGAUGCAAACUGCGAAUACCGGAGAAUGUUAUCACGGGAGACACACGGCGGGUGCUAACGUCCGUCGUGAAGAGGGAAACAACCCAGACCGCCAGCUAAGGUCCCAAAGUCAUGGU